Molecule: ribosomal RNA, 253 nt
Filed under: uncultured bacterium
Lineage: Bacteria
Description: partial 16S ribosomal RNA
Rfam family: Bacterial small subunit ribosomal RNA
Source: RNAcentral
UACGGAGGAUCCAAGCGUUAUCCGGAUUUAUUGGGCUUAAAGGGUGCGUAGGCGGCCUGUUAAGUCAGGGGUGAAAGACGGUAGCUCAACUAUCGCAGUGCCCUUGAUACUGAUGGGCUUGAAUGGACUAGAGGUAGGCGGAAUGAGACAAGUAGCGGUGAAAUGCAUAGAUAUGUCUCAGAACACCGAUUGCGAAGGCAGCUUACUAUGGUCUUAUUGACGCUGAGGCACGAAAGCGUGGGGAUCAAACAGG